Molecule: long non-coding RNA, 4901 nt
Organism: Syngnathoides biaculeatus (alligator pipefish)
Lineage: Eukaryota; Metazoa; Chordata; Actinopteri; Syngnathiformes; Syngnathidae
Exons: 3
Source: RefSeq, a predicted model, not a curated record
GAAUAAAGGAGAAAUUAGUGCAAUUACUCAAAAUCAGCACAGAAGCUCACCUGCUGCUCCCAUCCUUCCCUGUGGACCUUUUCAACCAGCACUGCCUUAGAUGGGCCAAACGGAUACUGAAACAUCCAACUGACACUCCACAAGCACUUUUUGAGCCACUACCUUUUGGCAGAAGCUUCAGGCCAUUAAAAACAAACACUAACAGACUCAGGAACAUUUUUCAUCCAAAUGCCAAAUCAUGCCAAAUGCCAAAUGGCACAUAAUACUGCGCGCGUAUGUGUCCUGUGGCUUUAGUCCAAUAACUGCUCUGUGCAAUAAUCAUCUGCAGUAUCUGUAGUUAUUUUAUUUCUUGUAACUUAUUAGAAUUUUUUAAAUUAUUUUUAAAUAUUUUUACAUUGUUUUUACAUUUUAACUGUGUGAUGUUCCUAUCUAUAAGUGUGUGUCUCUAUAUGUAAGUAUUUCAUUUGUUGUACGUGGUCAAUGAAUGACAAAGAUAUUCUUUUCUAUCCUAAUUGACAAGUCACCGUCUCUUGAGUGAAUAUAUUUGCAUUGCCAAUACAGUCGAGGUAAAAAGUAUUUAGUCAACCACCAAUUGUCCAGGUUCUCCCACUUAAAAAGAUGUCUGAGGUAGAGCUCACCUAUGAGCGGCAAAAUGAGGAAAAAAAAAAUCUAAUACAAUUGUACCUCUACCUACGAAAUUAAUUCGUUCCGGAAUUUGUUUUGUAACAUGAUUUUGUAAAUAGAAGCGUUUUUUUGUUUUUUUUAAUGUAAAUGGCAUCCAGGAACUGAGUGUUUGGACUUUGACUAUUUUGGGAAAAGCUCAGGAGUUGGUUGACAUGAUUCGAAGAAAGGUUGAUGUAUUGUGCAUCCAUGAGAGCAGGUGGAAAGGUAGCAAGGCUAGAAAGUUUAGGAGCAGGGUUUACAUUAUUUUACCAUGGAGUAGAUGGGAAGAGAAAUGGAGUAGGUGUUGUUUUAAAAGAAGAGCUGGCUCAGAAUGUCUUGGAGGUGAAAGGAGUAUCAGAUCGCGUAAUAUGGGUGAAAUUUGAAAUUGAGAGUUUUAGUUGCAUAAUAAAAUGCAUCAAAUAUUUGUUACCACAUAUAAAUACAGUCAUGACAAUUGAAAUUUCAAAAUAAGGCAAGUCCAUCAUGUAAGACAAGCUACUAUUAUAAAGCCUACAUCUUGAAAAAUCGGAAACCAGCUGUCAGUGUGUUGAAGAGGGCACUACGUUCACAAACCAAUCAAUAUCAACCAAAUGGCCAAACAGACCAAGGAGAGGUCAUCUGACCAAAUCCGGAUUUGAACCAUUAUUCCACAGUUUUCAAGAUGCGGGUUGUGAAAGCCACUCAAUCAACUGGCUUUCAUCCAUUCCAUCUAGAGCACCACCAUGAUCAACAAAAAUAAGCAGCUGGCGUGUUUUUUUUCAAGUUGGAGUAAUAAAGUUUGCAGAGGUACCCACAAUAACAUUUCCAACUGUUCUCUGGGUGUGGGAAAUGGGGAUUGGUUUGCAUGAUUCGCCUGCCAGCAGGUGGCGGUGAGUUGUGUGCUGAUGCAGUUGACUGAAGGGGAAGAAGAAAAUGCAGCCUAUCUGCUAAUUCCAAAAAAUGGCAGCUGUUCACUUGUUGAGAAGCCUCCAGUUUUUUUGCUGUGAAGGCAAUAAAUUAACGUUUUCCACACACCACCUGAGGCGUCCGUCAUGAGUGGUGUAGGGAACGCGCCAGAAACCAUGUGUUCGCCUUUGGGUGGCUUUCUAGUUGAUUGCCAUGAACCUUGAAUGUGCAGCUAGGUAGCCAGCUCGCUACCGUGGCCUCGUGGCGAUAACAUAAAUUUUAUAAAGAUUCGUUGAGAAACAAAAAAGUCAUGACAUUUUGAAGAUCCUGGGAAGGUCAGAACUUAUUGUUCUUUGCUAUUGUUUUACCAAUACCAUAAUUAGCCCAUAUUCUGAAUCUUUAAAUGGUCAUAACGUUGGUUGUUUGAGUUAUUGAGAUCAUUUAAGUACGUUUUUAAGGAGUUUUUAAAGCUCUUCCCAAUGAUAGUUUUUUUUAAUUCCAUCCAUUCUUUUUCUUAACCACUUAUCCUCACAAGGGUCACAGGAGUGCUGGAGCCUAUCCCAGCUGUCAACGAGCUGGAGGCAGGGUACACCCUGAACUAGAACAGCUUACAGAAGUGGUUAUGGUACCCACCCAACUUCCUUGGGGCAGAAUAAGACGGAUAUCGUAAAAGUGACCAGUAAGUUAUUUUUCCCCAUAGUGCAUGGUGAAAUCAUAAUUGGCAUGACAUUUUAUUCUUUCACCGCAUGCAUAUGUCAUUCAUUGAUGUAGUAUUUUUUAUAUAAAUGUCCCAAAGAGUCCAGGAAUUCAAUGAAUUGAUGUCAUGACUACAGUAUCUCUAUCAACUUAAACAACUAAUAAUAAUAACUUUAUUUUCUUUACAGCUCUAAAAACCUCCUAAAGUGCGAUGUCAGUCCUGUAAUUCCCCUGCAAGACCAUCAAAGUAAAUGCAUGUUCUGUUUCAAGCACUUUAUAAGAACAAGUCUGGCCCAAAGAGCACAAUAAAAAACUUGAUUACUGUGAUAUUCUGUUUUAUUCAUACUGUAUUAAGCAGUGGAACAGGUGGUUCACUAUCACCAUGAAGAACCCUAAGACAUUCAAAAUAAAGACAUCGACCAUCAACCUCGAGCCAUCCACCACAAAACAUGAGCUUUUCCCAUUCCCACAAAGAGAGUUGGCCCAUGUAAGAAGCAAGGUUCCAAAAAAAGGGCUCAUGCUGCUUACUGAGAUAAGGGACAUGGGCAGGCAUCAAGACCAUAGGGCAGCACAAGAAGAGGACAUCGACAUUGUACAGAUAAAAUAUCUGGUCGACUUCAUUGUCCUUGAACAGAAGGUGACAGAAAACCCUUUGUUUCUGCAGAACUGGUAUGAUUAAGUACAGAAAAAGUUGAGUUCAAUUUUAACAACAAACUAAUUCCUAAUUUUGCCAUCCUCUUUUUGAUUUGCAGAAAUUCCAAAUGUUGAAAGUUGGAUUGGUAACCUUUCAGGAAAAUAUGAAACGGAUCCGGAAAAGGUAAUUGAAUAUUGUACAGAAUGUAUUUUUUUAAACCAGUAAUAUACAGUUGAGAAUAAGGUGAAGAUUUUGUACUUCUUUUAACUUUCAAAUGAUACUGCAUUUAUGAAUACAAUUGAAACCAUUUUUUGUGCUGUUUGCAGACUUCUGAACAAUGAGGUCCUUCAAAUGGUCUUUCUAUAAACAAAAUAUGGAUUCUUGUGUUUGAUAGAUUACUAAUUGAUAGUUAUAGUGUUUGCCAGAUGUAAUCAUAAUCAAGUCUCAAUUUUGAACUCAAAAUGUGUCUUGAGAAACUACGAGGGGAGAACAGUUCUAUAGAGCUUGGGUCAUAAAGUUCUAUAGAUUUUCUGUGUUUGUUUCUAUAGAAAUUAUUUAGAAAUGUUCCUCAGAAAUAUUUUAGUAGAGGUCACAAAGCAUACAAGUGAGGGAGAUGUGGGUCGACUUUCAUAGGUCAGGCAGAGGCUACAAGAAGAUUGUCACUCAACUGCACCUGCCCAUAUCCACUGUGAGAGGAAUAAUUAAGAAGUUCAAAACAACUGGAACAGUGGUAAACAAGCCUGGACGAGGACCAAAGUUUAUUUUGCCACCACUCACAGUGAGGAGGAUGGUAGGAGAAAUCAAAAGAUCUCCAAACCUCACUGUUACAGAAAUACAAAAAAUGGUAGCAUCCCGGGGUCACAAAGACUCCAAAUCAACCAUCAGGCGCUGUCUACACGCCAACAAGCUGUUUGGGAGGCAUGCACGGAGAAAACCUUUCCUCACUCACAAUCAGAAACGCAAACGUCUGGAGUUCGCCAAGCGGUAUUGGGGCUUCAACUGGGACCAUGUGCUUUGGUCAGAUGAGACCAAGAUUGAGCUUUUUGACAACAAACAUUCUAAGUGGGUCUGGCGUGCCACGAAAGAUGCUCAUGUUGAAAACCACCUCAUACCCACCGUGAAGUAUGGGGGUGGGUUAGUGAUGCUGUGGGGCUAUUUUGCUUCCAAAGGCCCUGGGAAGCUUGUUAGGGUGCAUGGCAUCAUGAAUGCUUUGAAAUACCAGGACAUUUUAAAUCAAAAUCUGUUGCCCUCUGCACGAAAGGGGAAGAUGGGUCGUCACUGGGUUUUUCAGCAAGACAAUGACCCUAAACAUAUGGCCAAAUCUACAAAGAAAUGGUUCACCAGACACAAAAUCAAGCUCCUCCAAUGGCCAUCUCAGUCCCCAGACCUCAACCCCAUUGAAAACCUGUGGGGUGAGCUGAAGAGGAGAGUACAGAGGAGAGGACCCAGGUCUCUGGAUGAUUUAGAGAGAUUCUGCAAAGAGGAAUGACUGAAGAUCCCUCUUUCUGUCUUUUCCCAUCUUGUGAAACAUUAUAGGAGAAGAUUUGGUGCUGUUUUGUUGGCAAAAGGGGGUUGUACAAAGUAUUAAGACCUGGGGUGCUAAUAAUUGUGACACACAUUAUUUGAAAUAAUUAUUCGUAAUUAUUUCUUUAUGUGGGAUUUUUUCCCCACUUAAUAAAUGCAAUUGUAUUGAAUGUUGGAUUUUCUCUUUUUUUCCAUUCAGGUCCCAAAUUAUUUAGAAAAAAAAUUAUUAGAAGCUAAAAAACACAUCUUAACCAGAGGUGCCAAUAAUCAUGGAGGGCACUGUAAUUAGAGGGCCAGUCAAAGUUGGAUGUUUUGAAUACAAGGAUAAAGGGAGCAGACUUGGAUGGUUUGGACAUGUUCAGAGACGAGAGAGUGAGUAUAUUGGUAGAAGAGUGCUGAAGAUGGAGCUGCCAGGCAAAACAGCGAGAGGAACACCAAAGAAAUGGUUGAUGGAUGUUGUGAGGGAGGACAUGAGGACAGCGGGUCUAGAUUCUGGCAA